RNAcentral lists this ribosomal RNA (527 nucleotides) under uncultured bacterium. RNAcentral's name for it is "bacterial SSU rRNA". It matches the Rfam family "Bacterial small subunit ribosomal RNA", at positions 777 to 1304 of the family's 1533-position model. The record is from RNAcentral.
AAUAGAUACCCGGGUAGUCCACGCCGUAAACGAUGUCGACUUGGAGGUUGUUCCCUUGAGGAGUGGCUUCCGGAGCUAACGCGUUAAGUCGACCGCCUGGGGAGUACGGCCGCAAGGUUAAAACUCAAAUGAAUUGACGGGGGCCCGCACAAGCGGUGGAGCAUGUGGUUUAAUUCGAUGCAACGCGAAGAACCUUACCUACUCUUGACAUCCAGAGAACUUAGCAGAGAUGCUUUGGUGCCUUCGGGAACUCUGAGACAGGUGCUGCAUGGCUGUCGCCAGCUCGUGUUGUGAAAUGUUGGGUUAAGUCCCGCAACGAGCGCAACCCUUAUCCUUUGUUGCCAGCGGUUCGGCCGGGAACUCAAAGGAGACUGCCAGUGAUAAACUGGAGGAAGGUGGGGAUGACGUCAAGUCAUCAUGGCCCUUACGAGUAGGGCUACACACGUGCUACAAUGGCGUAUACAAAGAGAAGCGACCUCGCGAGAGCAAGCGGACCUCAUAAAGUACGUCGUAGUCCGGAUUGGAGU